Molecule: long non-coding RNA, 1571 nt
Organism: Astyanax mexicanus (Mexican tetra)
Lineage: Eukaryota; Metazoa; Chordata; Actinopteri; Characiformes; Acestrorhamphidae
Exons: 4
Source: RefSeq, a predicted model, not a curated record
UUCUUCAAGGUUUUCAUGGUCUGAUUGAUAACAAUUAGGUUGUUUGGUUUUAUAACUCUCCGAAAUCUUUUUUUUUUUAUAUAUUUUUUAGGUUUGGUGUCCAAUUACUCCAAAAUGAUGCAGUAAUAUUACUUGAUAUGCAUGACAAUAAUAGUAUGGAAUUUCUUCUUCAAGAAUUACAUUGUCUGAUUUGAUAACAAUUAUAUUUUUUGGUUUUAUAGCACUCCAAAAUUCCACAUUUUUGGUAUCCAAUUGCUCCAAAAUCAUACAGUAGUAUCAUCACUUCAAACACAUAUCUGGCAUACAUGAGAAUGAGAUCUUUAAGAAUUAAGUGCAGUAAUAUAAUAAUCAUUUGAUUUGCUUUGUUAAUAGCACUCCAAACAUUUCCAAAGCGUUACACUGUUGUACAGACAGGCAGCAGUCUUUCUGGUGUAUAUUUGUUGAUUAGACCUGGUUAAACUAUGUUUAUUUAGAUUCCAUUUUCAGUCUCUGCACGAGAUGCGCGAGCCUCCGCUCUUUAGAGUGCGCUGUGCACGCGGCUACUGUAAAACACGCAUUAGACGCGCAUACCAUUUAUCGAUGUAGAUAGCACGACCGAGCUUUUUUUAAGUGCAGAUUACGUGACCGUGGUCAGAUAGUAAAGUGGUUUAAAGUACUAUAAUAUUUACUGAUAUGAUGCGUAUCGCUGUGGCCUCUACUGAAAGGCAGGUGCCUAUAGAUCUAAUGGCAUGUGCCACGGGAGCUCGCUAUAGCCUCUACUGAAAGGCAGGUGCCAAAUGAUCUAAUGGCAUGUGCCACGGGAGCUUGCUAUUGCCUCUACUGAAAGGCAGGUGCCUAUGGAUCUAAUGGCAUGUGUCACGGGAGCUCGCUAUAGCCUCUACUGAAAGGCAGGUGCCUAAGAAUCUAAUGGCAUGUGUCACGGGAGCUCGCUAUAGCCUCUACUGAAAGGCAGGUGCCUAUGGAUCUAAUGGCAUGUGCCACGGGAGCUCGCUGUGGCCUCUACUGAAAGGCAGGUGCCUAUGGAUCUAAUGGCAUGUGCCACGGGAGCUCGCUGUGGCCUCUACUGAAAGGCAGGUGCCUAUGGAUCUAAUGGCAUGUGCCACGGGAGCUCGCUGUGGCCUCUACUGAAAGGCAGGUGCCUAUGGAUCUAAUGGCAUGUGUCACGGGAGCUCGCUAUAGCCUCUACUGAAAGGCAGGUGCCUAAGAAUCUAAUGGCAUGUGUCACGGGAGCUCGCUAUAGCCUCUACUGAAAGGCAGGUGCCUAUGGAUCUAAUGGCAUGUGCCACGGGAGCUCGCUGUGGCCUCUACUGAAAGGCAGGUGCCUAUGGAUCUAAUGGCAUGUGCCACGGGAGCUCGCUGUGGCCUCUACUGAAAGGCAGGUGCCUAUGGAUCUAAUGGCAUGUGCCACGGGAGCUCGCUGUGGCCUCUACUGAAAGGCAGGUGCCUAUGGAUCUAAUGGCAUGUGCCACGGGAGCUCGCUGUGGCCUCUACUGAAAGGCAGGUGCCUAUGGAUCUAAUGGCAUGUGCCACAGGAGCUCGCUGUGGCCUCUACUGAAAGGCAGGUGCCUAUG